AAAUAGACAUAGAGAGAAAAAGUGAGAGAAAGAGGUAGAAGAUGAGAAUUCAAGAGAAAAGGAGAUCUAACUUGGGGGGAAGCUCAAAAGGGAUAUUAAAGUGAAGAUUAAGGUUGCUUUUGAAGGUUAAGGUAAGAGGGAAAGUUUAUAUUUUCCAUUAAGUGAUUAUGAGUGAUAUGGUAGUUAUGGGUUAUGUUUAAUUAAGUGAUUUUCAUGAAAUUGAUGUUAUGAAUAAGUGACUUUCGUGCUAUCUAAUUAUAUUAAUUAUAGGUAUGUUUAACUUUGUGAAAUUAAGUUGUUUAUUUCCUUAAGUUCAUGUAUGAGGUUAUAAAAUAAGUUGUUUCUGAACAUAUUCCCGAGAGGGUCGCAAUAUAACCUCAAAAACAACUAUUAGUGGUGAUGAUGCAGUAAUGAACGAGUCAGGCGCACUAAUUAGUGGCUAGUUGUAUACAAAUUCCCUUUCUAAUUGUUGAAAGGGAAAAUGGGGUUUCUGGGGUUUCGCUAAUUAUGGGGAUCCGACUCCGAUGAAAUUAGGAAAGCCUGGUAAGAGGUUUCUUGACAAGCUGAAGGAUCUUCUGGAUACUAGGAUUAUGGAGGGAUUGAAAGAGAGAUAUGUCAAGGGACAAAUGGUAUAUUGUUUUGAACUUUUUUUAUUUUGGUCUGGUUUGUGAAAUUGUAAAUUAUGCUAGGAGUUUUUUUUCUUGUGGUGGAUUAGUGUGAUAUGAGUUUAUUCGCAAAUGAUGUAGGCGCGUAAACAGGGAGAAAAGGAGUUACAAGGCAUGAUUAAAGACUCCGGCAUUUUGUGCUAUUAUGGGAGUUGCAGGGGGAAUCAUGCAAGUAAAUGGAAGGAUGGUUAUUGGUUUUUUGUUUGUUUAGGUUUAGCAUCUUGUAGGUUAGUAAUGCGUUUUUUUUUUUUUUUUUUUGCUAUUUGUUGUUUUUUGUUGAGAGGAGGUUGUCUCGCCGACUAUUUUCGAGUUGGAUGCCGAUAGUGCUAAUAAACGUCCUCCGAUGUAUACUUACCUUGAGAAUGGAAAUUUCCUUCGGGAUAUCAUGAAUGCUUGUUCGAGUCUUCUGUUGGACACAUUGGAUGAAGUGGUCCAAAUGGUCCUUGGUGAUUUCACUAUGCAGAAAUCUAAUAUCUGUUUCAAUUGCAGAGAUUUCAAAUGCACAAACUUGCUUUCCUAGCUGUGACAAUAUGUAAUUUGAAAUUCUGUUGAUUAAACAUGUAAUUUUGAUGAACUGUUUGUAGGGUCAAUUUCUGAAUCCAACAUGGCUGACUCAGAAAUUGACCAUACAAACAGUUCAUCAAAAUUACAUGUUUAAUCAACAGAAUUUCAAAUUACAUCUUGUCACAGCUAGGAAAGCAAGUGUGUGCAUUUCAAACCUUUGCAAUUGAAACAGAUAUUAAAUUUCUGCAUAGUGAAAUCACCAAGGACCAUUUGGACCACUUCAUCCAAUGUGUCCAACGGAAGACUCGAACAUGCAUUCAUGACAUCCCGAAGGAAUUUUCCAUUCUCAAGGUAAGUAUACUCCGGAGGACGUUUAUUAGCACUACCGGCAUGCAACUCAAAAACAGUCGGCGAGACAACCUACUCUCAACAAAAAACAACAAAUAGAAAGAAAAAAAAAACGCAUUACUAACCUACAAGAUGCUAAACCUACACAAACAAACAAAAAAAACCAUCCCUCCAUUUACUUGCCUGAUUCCCCUUGCAACUCCCACAAUAGCAUAAAAUGCUGGAGUCUUUAAUCACACCUUAUAACUCCUUUUCUCCCCGUUUACGCGCCUACAUCAUUUACGAAUAAACUCAUAUCACACUAUUGCACCCCAAGAAGAAAAAAAAACUCCUAACAUCAUUCACAAUUUCACAAACCAGACCAAAAUCAAAAAAGUUCAAAACAAUAUACCUUUUGUCCCUUGACAUAUCUCACUUUCAAUCCCUCCAUAAUCCCAGUAGCCAGAAAAUCCUUCAGCUUGACAGAAAACCUCUUACCAGGCUUGCCCAAUUUCAUCGGAGUCACCAUAAUCAGUGAAACCCUAGAAACCCCAUUUUCCCUUUCAACAACAUUAGCAAGGGAAUUUGUAUACAACUCGCCACUAAUUAGUGCGUCUGACUUGUCCAUUUCUGCAUCAUCACCACUAAUAGUAGUGGAAUUUAUCAUUUUUCCCACCAACUACCAGCAGCCGAGAAAAUCGUGCAAUCGUAUGUCCCUAAAUUGAAAACAAAUUAUGUGACUGCAACCAAUAUGCCAACCCCAGUUGCACAGGUUAACCAGGCGUUAGAUAUUGGUGGAUGACCAAUUCAUGGGUGAGUCGUACUUGAUUACGGUUGAUGAGCAGCCCUUUGAGGAAAAUAUUGUGGUGCCAAAACAAGUAGCCAUUACGAAGGCGAGUUUCUUUCCAUAUGACUAUGAAUAAUGUAACAGAUGAAUUAAUCUGAGUUGAUCUUGGUGGUAGAAUUUCGGUUCUUCAGCAAGUGCCACCUAAAAUAUUGGAAACUGAAUCUCCCUCCAAGACGUAGCCACAGACUAAUUCGAGCCAUAUGGUAAUUAGUAUUCCAAAUGAUGACUCUUAAGCAGAUACAACAGAUACCGUUGUUUUGGGACAACAGGAUGGUCUAAAAGAGGAGAAAAUUGAAGAUUCCAAUGAUGAUAUUCUAGCAAAGAGUGCAUCCAAAGAGGUUCCACUUGAACUCCAUGUAACCGAGGUUGAAAAAAGACCGUGAGUUAGUUCAGAAGUUUAUGAAUAAUGAGAAGAUUGAUUAUGAGGCCUCAUUCACUACUUACGUCUCAGAGCCAGAAGAAGAAAAACAAGCUCAACUGAGGUUCUUGAUAAUCAUCUUCUUGCUUGUUGCAAUACAAGGUGACUUUCUGACACAUGUUUCAUCUUUAGGAUUGCAUGUUUCAAUUAGAGGUAUUUGGGUAACCAUGUGCAACAAUUGAAAACUUGGUAUCAAUAUAUAGCUCCUACAAAAACAAUUUAAGUAAAUAUAUAGUGGCGCACAUAUCGAUUAGAUAUAAAUUUGUCGCAUGAUUAUUCACAUAUAUAAUACACCUGAAUUUUAUUACAUGGUUAAAGUAGUUCAAAUACAUGAUUUGCCUUAAAAAAAUAGUUAUUAUAGGUUUUAUAGGUUAUUUGAUCAUCUAACUAAUUUCCAAUUUUUAUUUUAAUCUCAUAAUUAAUAAAACUCAUACAUAAUUAAUAAAACUCAUGUUUUAAUCUCUGAAAUUUGCCUGUAGUCAAAUAAAUCUCUAAUUGUUAAGUUUAACCUCAAAUAUUUGUGGUGAACAAACCUUAAGAGUGGCACACCAUAGAUCAUAUUAAUUAUUUUAAUUUAAAUUGUUUGAUCUUUUUUAUUAAAAGAGGAUCGUUAAUUCAUGCAUGUCUAGUAUAUCUUAUGGUGAAUCAACAACAUCUAACUUUAUAUUCAAUUCUUCCUCUUCUUCCUUCCCCUCAUUCAUCACCUUCAUAAAAAAAAAAUUAGAAAAAUUCCAGAAAACACAACCAACAUAAACCAAUCAAAAAACAUUAAUGACAUAACUAUUUUUCCUCAAAACAUAUAAAUCUUUCAACCCUAAAAUCAUAUUGGUAACAACAAACAAAAUUUCAGAAUAAUCAAAAACCCACAAUUUAUAACGCAAAAAAUAGGUUGUUGCCAAUGAUUUUAGGUGGAAAGAUUUAUGUGUUUUGAGGGAAAUUAAUUAUGUUAUUAAUGUUUUUAAUUGGUUUAUGUUUUUGUUGUGUUUUCUGAAAUUUUUCAGAUUUUUUUUAUGGAGGUGAUGAAUGAGGGGAAGGAAGAAGAUGAAAAAUAAGACAUAAAGUUAGAUGUUGUUGGUUCACCGUAAGAUACAGUAGACAUGCAUGAUCUAACGGUCCUCUUUUAAUCAAAAAAGAUCAUACGGUUUAAAUUAAAAUAAUUAAUAGGCCCUGUAGUGAACCACUCUUAAGGUUGGUUACCAUAGACAUUUGAGGUUAAACUUAACAUUUAAGGGACCAAAACAUGAGUUUUAUUAAUUAUGGGACUAAAAUGAAAACUGGAAAUUAAUUAGGAAAUCAAAUGACUUAUUAAGCCUUAAUUAUAUUUAAAGGUUAAAUAUGUUUUUAGUCCUUAUAAAAUAGGAACCUUUCAAGUUUAAUCCUUACUUAAUUUUAAUAGGUUUUUUAAUUCCUACAAAAGAAUUGCUUCUAAUUUUAAGCCCUGUUACAACAAAGUUUGAUGUAAUAAGAGAUGGAUGGGGGAGAAAGAAAGAAACUUCAAUCGGUAAAGAAACGCAGAGAGAAAGAAACCAGAGAAGAGGGAAAAGUUGUAGGAGAGAUAUACCAAGAGAGACAAAAUCAGGGGAGAAGAGCCAACAAAAUUGGAGAUUUGUUCAUCCACUGAGGGAGAUAACAACUGAAAACAAUGAACAACUCCACGAACGGAAGGAAAGGAGAUUCAGGAUCUUGGAGCCCUCCAUAUCAAAAUUUGUGUUGAAACAACAAUUAGGAAAUGAUUUUUCAAAUUUAAGUUUGUUCUGUUUGGAGUUGGGAAGUAGUUGUAUUCCAUCUGGAGCAAUAUAAAUAUUGUUUCUUAAUUUAUUUCAUCUAGGUUCUUACACAACCAGAAGUGGUUGUUCUAUCUAAGUUUACAAUGUUGAGCCAUUUGGAGCUUGGUUCAGUUUUUGUUGGGGGACAUAAAAUCUGACCGGUUCUCAAUACUCUAGUUUUUAAGGUUGGUAAUUAGCAUUAAUUUAAUUUACUUUAACCUUAUUUAUCCUCUUAUUUGAACUCAUAUUUACAACUUUGAUUAAGUAUAUCAACGUGUGGUCAAAAUAAUAGUUUAGUAAAAUAAAGCAUAUUUUCUGGAA
Molecule: long non-coding RNA, 4848 nt
Filed under: Medicago truncatula (barrel medic)
Lineage: Eukaryota; Viridiplantae; Streptophyta; Magnoliopsida; Fabales; Fabaceae
Description: long non-coding RNA (MTRU_LNC008684)
Source: RNAcentral